AAAAGCUGUAGGGGGACGCAGGAAGGUAGGUGAUCCCAGGCGAUGGUUGUCCUGGGGUAAGCGUGUAGGGAGAAGGUUAGGCAAAUCCGACCUUCAUACAUCCUGAGACGCGAUACCGAAGCCGUAUGGCCUAAGUCACUGAUCCUAUGCUGCCAAGAAAAGCCUAGUAGCGAGUUGGCACGGUGCCCGUACCCCAAACCAACACAGGUGGAUAGGUAGAGAAUACCAAGGCGAUUGGGAGAACUGUGGUUAAGGAACUCGGCAAAAUGCAUGCGUAACUUCGGGAUAAGCAUGACCUCGUUAGGGUGAAGGGACUUGCUCCCGGAGCUCGAAGAGGUGGCACAGAAUUGGGGGAAGCGACUGUUUACUAAAAACACAGCAGCGUGCGAAGCCGAAAGGCGCUGUAUACGCUGUGACGCCUGCCCAAUGCUGGAAGGUCACGGGGAAGGGUUAGCCCUAGGGCGAAGCUCUGAACCUAAGCCCCAGUGGAUGGCGGCCGUAACUAUAACGGUCCUAAGGUAGCGAAAUUCCUUGUCGGGUAAGUUCCGACCUGCACGAAUGGCGUAACGACUUCCCUACUGUCUCAACCACAGACCCAGCGAAAUUGAAGUACGAGUAAAGAUGCUCGUUAGCUGUAGAAGGACGGAAAGACCCCGUGGACCUUUACUAUAGCUUGAUAUUGAGUCUUGUCAUGCGUUGUGUAGGAUAGGUGGGAGGCUAGGAAGCAUGCACGCCAGUGUGUGUGGAGCCAUCCUUGAAAUACCACCCUGCGUAUGGCGGGACUCUCACCCUGACCCGUUAUCCGGGCCGGGGACAGUGUCAGGUGGGUAGUUUGACUGGGGCGGUCGCCUCCUAAAGAGUAACGGAGGCGCCCAAAGGUUCCCUCAGACUGGUUGGCAAUCAGUCGUCGAGUGCAAUGGCAUAAGGGAGCUUGACUGCGAGACGUACAGGUCGAACAGGUGCGAAAGCAGGGCAUAGUGAUCCGGCGGUUGCGUGUGGAAGCGCCGUCGCUCAACGGAUAAAAGGUACCCCGGGGAUAACAGGCUAAUCUUCCCCAAGAGUCCAUAUCGACGGGAAGGUUUGGCACCUCGAUGUCGGCUCAUCGCAUCCUGGGGCUGAAGCAGGUCCCAAGGGUUGGGCUGUUCGCCCAUUAAAGCGGUACGCGAGCUGGGUUUAGAACGUCGUGAGACAGUUCGGUCCCUAUCCUCUACAGCCGGAAGUGACUUGAGAAAAGCUGUCCCUAGUACGAGAGGACCGGGAUGGACGCAGCUCUCGUGUGCCAGUUGUCCUGCCAAGGGCAUGGCUGGUUAGCGACCUGCGGGCGAGAUAACCGCUGAAAGCAUCUAAGCGGGAAGCUCCUUUCAAGAUGAGGUCACUCACAGGGUCAACCUGGUAAGGCCCGUGGUAGACCACCACGUUGAUAGGCCGGAAGUGUAAGCGCGGUAACGCGUUCAGCUGACCGGUACUAAUCGGCCGAGGGCUUGGUUG
RNAcentral lists this ribosomal RNA (1488 nucleotides) under metagenome. RNAcentral's name for it is "bacterial LSU rRNA". It matches the Rfam family "Bacterial large subunit ribosomal RNA", at positions 1457 to 2925 of the family's 2925-position model. The record is from RNAcentral.